GAUGAACGCUGGCGGCGUGCCUAAUACAUGCAAGUUGAACGCUCAAGCUUGGUGCUUGCACCGAGCGGAUGAGUUGCUGACGGGUGAGUAACGCGUAGGUAACCUGCCUCUUAGCGGGGGAUAACUAUUGGAAACGAUAGCUAAUACCGCAUAAAAGCCGAUAUCGCAUGAUAUUGAUUUGAAAGGUGCAAUUGCAUCACUAAGCGAUGGACCUGCGUUGUAUUAGCUAGUUGGUGAGGUAACGGCUCACCAAGGCAACGAUACAUAGCCGAACUGAGAGGGGGAUGGGCCACACUGGGACCGAGACACGGCCCAGACACAUACGGGGGGCAGCAGUAGGGAAGCUUCGGCAAGGGGGGAGACGCUGACCGAGCAACGCCGGGUGGGUGAGGAAGGUUUUCGGAGCGUAAAGGACUGUUGUAAGAGAAGAACGAGUGUGAGAGUGGAAAGUUCACACUGUGACGGUAACUAACCAGAAAGGGACAGCUAACUACGUG
This 497-nucleotide ribosomal RNA is filed under the name uncultured bacterium. Its description in RNAcentral is "partial 16S ribosomal RNA". It matches the Rfam family "Bacterial small subunit ribosomal RNA", at positions 28 to 507 of the family's 1533-position model. The record is from RNAcentral.